Molecule: non-coding RNA, 117 nt
Organism: Pan troglodytes (chimpanzee)
Lineage: Eukaryota; Metazoa; Chordata; Mammalia; Primates; Hominidae
Rfam family: Metazoan signal recognition particle RNA
About the family: The signal recognition particle (SRP) is a universally conserved ribonucleoprotein. It is involved in the co-translational targeting of proteins to membranes.
Source: Rfam
GCCGGGCGCGGUGGCUCACGCCUGUAAUCCCAGCACUUUGGGAGGCUGAGGCGGGAGGAUCACCUGAGGUCGGGAGUUCGCGACCAGCCUGACCAACAUGGAGAAACCCCGUCUCUA